UGACAAACACUGCAACUGGCGCACAGGCAACUGUCAGGAUUGUAGACCAAUGUGCAAAUGGAGGGCUUGAUUUAGACCAUGGUGUCUUCUCUAAACUAGACACUAAUGGGAAAGGCUAUGCUCAAGGCCAUCUGAUCGUCAACUAUCAGUUUGUAAACUGUUAAUAAAAUAACCAAUGUUGUAUUACCACCUUAUGCAGCCAUCCAGAGAAGUACUAAGUAAGGAUGGCAUCUUGUCUUAUCAAUAAACGCAUCGAUGCAUGCGAAGAAAUAAAUAUGGUGUGACUUAAAAAUCCAAAAACCAAGAUUUUGUGUGCAUUAGAGGUGCUUAGAUCAUGAUUUACUAUUCUUCAAAACAACCAUCAUAUACUGCGGGUUGUAUAUUGUUUGAAGGCUAUAUUGAUGAGUAGGCAAAUAAACCAACCAAAUUGCAAAACCUACUUGAAUUGAUAAUUUUGGUUCGGUUUGUCAGUUUUUUUCAUAUUUGAUAUAUUUUUGGUUUGAAAAUCUUCCGAACAAGAAGAAAUUGGAUUGGUUUCAUUUUAAGUUUUAAAAAGAAAGCAACUUAAACUGAACAUACCUGCAUAUAUAAACUAACCAGUUCAUUUGGUUCAGUGCCUUCAGGCUUCAAUGGUUCAAUUCAAUAUCCCUCACUGCAGAAAAACUCAUCUUUUCCAACGCUUUUUAUAACCUUUACCGACGCUUAUAAGCGUCGGCUAAAGUUCCGGCGAUGCUAAUAAAAGUGUCGCAAAAGGAUCGGCGAUACCGGAGUGGUAAAAUUUUUUUCCGACACUACAUGAAAGCGUCAGCAAAAACAGAAAUUUGCCGACGCUUUAUCAAACGGAUACCAACCUCAUGCUUUUCGCCGACGCUUAAAAGCGUCAGCAAAUCCCGGGCUCUAAUACCAACAAAUCUGUCAUGCUCCGAACCCAGAGCAUAACAUACGCCGCAUACCUAUAUGGCGGACCAAACAAACAUGCAAGGCUACAAAUCAUAUUAAAACAAUAAUAAAUUUUGAAAUUUAUUUAAUCAAUAAAUUAUUCAAUCUUACAAUAGUUCCAAUAUAACAAAUGUCAACAUGUGCUAACUAAUAACAUAAAUCAAAUAUUCUAACUAGUCUAACUAAAAUACUAAUAACUGAAGGUAUCUUCAGAAAAUCUAACGCACUCCUCAAGUCUUGAGCAAUCGUGUGUCUAUGCAUCUAAAUCACUCAUGGUACGAUAUCCAAAUACUACUAUUCUAAUCACCGGUGGUGUGGUGUCGAAACUAAUUUCUCAUAGAUUACAAGUCGACAAGGCUAAUAAAUAAUUCUCAUUGGUGGGGCCAGAUCAUAGCCAUAUUGAGAAUACAUAUAUUCAAAACAGAUUUUUUAUAAUUUGCCCAAUCACAUUUUUCAUAAUUUUAUAAUAUAUAACAUAACUUUAAAAUGAUUACUAUCAUAAUACUAACAUAACUUUAAUCAGCUAAUAAUUAUUUUACCAAUUAAUUUAAAAAAUAUACUUUGAAGCAUUAGUUACUUACCUCUUCUCACUUCAAAUCCUACUUCAAACAAAUAGGUCAGGUGCACCUAUUUGAUAUCAUUAAAAUAUUAUUAAUUUUAACAUCAUUCUAGAAGUCAAAUGAAGUCAAAAUUAAACAUUACUGGAGAACAGUCUCAUGCCCCCAAAUUAGGUUAGUCGGAUGAUAGUGCCCGACUGCCGAGGUCGAUCUGAGCAAGGACGGUUCAAAAGAUCUGAAGCUGAGGUAAUGGGCCAGUCUACUGUCCGGAUACCGGAGCGAUUCAAGGCCUCCACCCAAGGGUCAACUUGGAUCUAAGCAAAAAGAAAGUCGGGGCUUUGAACUAAGAUCCCUCAGUCUCGCUUAGAGAGAGAAAGAGGCUUAAAGAGAAGUCCCGGUCUAAGUCUUGGUUCAAUCCUGAUCACGGGCCCGGUUUGAGUAGUUUGGUUCGACCAUUAGGAAAAAUCUAAGCCUACUUAAUUAAAGAAGAGCUAGGGAUUAGUUUUUUUCUUUUUUUUUGGCCUUCUUGGCCCAAAAUAGGGAUGAACAAGGCCCAAAUGCUUCAUCCCACUGAAUUAAGAAACAAGGAGGAAGUGGAUAAAAAGAGGGAAGAGGGAAAGUCCGGCGGCCGUGCCUAGGUGGUCGAUGACCAGUUGUCAACAGCAGUGGUGGCCACUGCAACGGUCGACGAGAAGGAGGAGCUAAGGUCAUCCUUGGUUUGGUCCAAAAUAGAGGAUAGGAGGUUGGCUUCGAUUAAAAGAACAAGAAAAAGUGGGAGCUUACCGGGGCAUCUGAUGGUCCUCGUGGCGGCGGCGGCAGAGAUGAAGGAUCUCGGUCGCUGAUUGCUCAACCGGUGGUAACUUCUGGUGGAAGGAGAGCGGCGGUGCUUGGUCUAGAGAAUAGAGCGACGGAAACACAAGAGAUCGAGAUAGAUUUUCAAGGGUGACAGAGUUCGAAGGUGGUGGCUGUCAGUCGCCAAAAGCAAGAAAGGAGAAGUGGAAGCUUGGUGGUGGAUCAAUAGUAGAGGGAGAGAAGAUUUAUAGGAGGGUUUUCGAAGGAGGUCGUGGCUCCGUCACUGAUGUAAUUUUCGCGGCCGUUGAGCGCGAUCGACGACCGUACAAAUUGCUAUGGAGUUAUCGUGGAGCUGCUGCAGAAUCGCCUCUGUCACGCCGAGGAAGAAAGAGCAGAGGAUCACAAUCGCAAUUCUCUGUUCGGGUUCUGCUUUCAAAAUUGGACUGAAGUUGGCAGGUUCACUCCGAUAUGGCCCAUUUCGGGCCUGAUCUCAUAGUUGUCGAGUUUUGAACUUUAUGAUUAGAGAAGAACUGCGAGUAUUUUGUUUGCUAAGGGAUACAAAAGAUCAACUCAAGCAAUAGAUCUUACUUGACAAGCUGAGAGGUUUCCAUAAAUAAUCAAAAAGAGGAUGAUUGCCCACUUUUACAUUAAGAAAAAUAAAAAAAAUAGAAAAACUAUAAUGGCAGCACCUUGUUAAUAAAAUCUAGUGUGACCUUGAAGGGGAGAGUGGUAGGUGGGUUGGAGGGCGCGCAAGGCUGGCUUAAUUCCUUUUCAUUUUUUCCUGUUUUCCCCUUAUUUCUUCGUUCUCUCUUCUCUUUUCUUUGGCCCUUUUGGACCUUGUAUCAUUUUAUGCUUCUUGGCAGAAUGAUGUUUAUUCUAUAUCCGAUAUUUUGCAUUUCAUUGCCAUCUUUUUAUAACUUUUCUAUUUUUUCCCAAUUUCCCCUUCUUUUUUCCUUCUCUCUGCACUUUUCUUUGGCCCUUUUGGACCUUGUGUCAUUUCUGAUGGAAUGAUGUUUGUUCUAUGAGCUCUUUUUUUUUUUUUGGGAGGGGGGGGGGGGGGGUAAACAUUUUAUGACCGUUUUUCGAAAAACAAAGAAAGAAAGAUAACUGAGUUGGUUUGAACUUUUGCAUCCAGAAAUUAGAUUAGGAAGUUAUACCAAGGCUAACCAGAAGUGAAAUGGGAAACAUGAUUGGUUCUUCUAAUAAAAAUGAAAGCCGAUAUUGUUGACCGGUAAGUGUGCGCCUUAACAAAGUACUGUUCAAAUUCCACCCUCCAGAGAAAAUCUAUCCCUUCUUCUGUCUUUAUCGCCAAAAAACCAGCAAUCCAACAUAGGCGGCGGGUCGUUCCCGCACUUUCAGUCUUGUCACCCGAGAGAUACGUCACAGGUGUCUGGUCUUCAAAGCACCCAGCCAAGUGCCGUGACCUUAUCUCUUUUCCUUGUCCCUCUCUCAACCUUAUCUAUAGUCUCCACUAUAGAGAUGUGGUCAAAAGUUUCGUCGAAGACUCCAAGAAACUUUAGACUCCUGUGCAUGGUCCUCUAAGUCUAGAAAUUUGACGCGCUUGUGCUCUAUUUCUUGUUUGGUACACUUUCUUGGUACGUAGUUUGAUACACUUUCGCUAGACAAAAAUGCGUAUUCACAGGACAAUGCAUUAUCAAUCUUAGUAUCUCAAAACAGUCCCCUAACUCUGAAGUAUGAACCUCUUCACUUUAGCAAGUCUCACUCUGAAGUUCUCAUCAAAACUAAGGGGCAUUUUUGUAGUUAGAGAGCCUCACAACAUCCAUAAAUAUAGUCGACAGACAAGCUUCUUGUUCUCUCCAUCCAAAAGCCAAGCCAAGAUGAUGAUGAUGAUGAGGGUGAGCCUCUCUGUGACAUUGCUGCUGUGCAUCGCCGCUGCGGUGAGCGCCCAGUCGGCGUCCAACAUGCGUGCAACAUACCAUGAAUACAACCCGGCGCAGCACAACUGGGACCUGAAUGCAGUCAGUGCCUACUGCUCGACGUGGGAUGCCAAUAAGCCGCUUGCAUGGCGGCAGAAGUAUGGGUGGACGGCCUUCUGCGGGCCGGUCGGCCCGAGAGGCCAAGCUGCCUGUGGCAAGUGUUUGCGGGUAAGUUUGGAGAAUUUGAAGCUCUAGCUAUGCUUCCAUUACCUCAAGUUCUUUUUAUUUGUUCAGAUUAUGUUUUUCCUUGUGGCUAGAAAGCUCCCUAGGAUUUAUAUCCAGCUUGAGCUGGGCUUAUGUUAGCAAAGUCUUAUCUAAUCAGGUUUGGUCAUGUUCAGGAUGGGGCUUCAUAAACAGAAGAAAACUAAUUACUACAUAUUGAAAGGUUAGAAAAGCCCCAUCUCAUUGACCUAAUCUGGUCUGAUUUGAGCUGAGUUCUUGCAUGCAGCUCGGGUAUGGAGAUGGUUCGUGUUUGAACGAGACUUGACUGUGACUUUAGACUAUCAUUUUAUUCAGCCAGCAAUGAGUGGGUUAAAAGGAAAGAAUGGUAACAGGACACGGAUGUGAACUCUUGUUGGCCUAGUAAUGAUUAAAACUAUAUACAUCUAUGUGUGUAGGGGUUAAUCUCUAACUUUCUAUUGUGUGCGUAUAUAGGGACUUGUCUCCAUCUUUGUAUUUUGUAUCCAUCCCAUUUUUCACUAGAACCGAACACUGGCCCUAUACCCACAGCUCUCGUGUGGACCUAUGCUUCUUUGAGAGGAGAGGUAGCAUUAGGUUUCAAAUUCAUCAGCUGAUAUCUCUUGAAAAGUAAAAAAGGGGCCUUGAUUUUUUACUGCUAUAGCAUGCAUCUUGAUUAGGUUUUCUAUUGUUGAAAAAAGAAAGAGAGAGAAGUGCAUGAGAAAAGGUAGAAAGUUAGUUCCAGAAAUGAUUAGUUAAGAAAAUGAACAUCACCUGUUAACACUAGUCACUUUGGUCUAAAUGUCAAAUGUCAUGAUGCAAAAGACAGGAAUAUAUGCAGUUUAUGGAAUGCAUGUAAAGACUAAAUGCCAAAAUAGAGGAUAUGUGUAGACUAAAUUUAUGCUCGGGCAAGAGUGUGCAUCCUAUGGGAUGAAAUCUAGUUUUUUGGAUCAUUGUGCAUGCGUUUUGCUUCCCUCAAAUCACUUAUUUCGGUGAAAUAUUCAAGCCACCCUGUUGCUAAAUGAAAUCUGGCAGCAACAUAAUCGUUACAUGACUCAUUUGAACCUGGGUUUGUACGAUUCAAUUGAUACAAUUAAUAAAAUUCCUUUUUCUAAAAUAAAUAACCAUGUAGAAAAUGAGUCAUAUUGUUUUCUCCAUCUGAAGGUGACACGUACUAUAGCCCAAAUGCCUAAUUAUUUACCACAAAAUUUUAUGUAGUUCCCUCGACCUUACGUUUGGAUGAUGUCCAUCUAAGACGUGAUGAUGACAUAAAAGUUACAGAGGAUCCUGACUCAUUAUAUUAGAUAGGAAAAAUCCAAAGGAAACGUAAAAGAAAAUGAACCACCAACCUUAUAGGUAAAUGAGGAUAUGUUUGUUCUAAUAUUGUAGUUUUUUUAUGGUAUCAUGCAGGUGAAAAACACUGCAACUGGCGCACAGGCAACUGUCAGGAUUGUAGACCAAUGUGCAAAUGGAGGGCUUGAUUUAGACCAUGGUGUCUUCUCUAAACUAGACACUAAUGGGCAAGGCUAUGCUCAAGGCCAUCUGAUCGUCAACUAUCAGUUUGUAAACUGUUAAUAAAACAACUAAUGUUGUAUUACCACCUUAUGCAGCCAUCCAGAGAA
Molecule: long non-coding RNA, 6024 nt
Filed under: Phoenix dactylifera (date palm)
Lineage: Eukaryota; Viridiplantae; Streptophyta; Magnoliopsida; Arecales; Arecaceae
Description: long non-coding RNA (PDAC_LNC009945)
Source: RNAcentral